CCAACGGUGACAGACCCUGAGGGGGGGAGACCGCCGUGAGAGCAACCCGACCCGGCCUGGCCCUUUGCUCCCGCCCCGCCCCGGCCCCACCGCGGGGCGAGGCCGCACCUGGAGAGGCGAAUCCGGUCCCGCACCGGGAGAUUAGGAGAUGAAGCCAGAAAAUACCCACACUGGCCUUGGUGUGAGGCGACAGACCCUCUCCACCAGUGCACGCGUGCAUAAUUGACGCAAACUCUUUGAAGACAGUUUGGCAACAUCUGAUGGCAGCCUCUGUUGGACCCAAAACUACUACUGCAAGGAUCUCAAAUUGUCAAAAAGAGUGAGACAAGAGCACGGAAAACAAUGCUUCCCGCUCUGGCAGCCAUCUUGUGACUUUGAGAAAAGAUCAAAAGGAUUGUUGGGGGACACAUGUAAUACCUUAAUCAGUAAAGAAAUUAAAGAUUGGGGGGAAAAAAAAGGUCAAAA
Myotis lucifugus (little brown bat) is the source of this 465-nucleotide long non-coding RNA. RefSeq lists it as uncharacterized. Lineage: Eukaryota; Metazoa; Chordata; Mammalia; Chiroptera; Vespertilionidae. The transcript has 3 exons. The record is from RefSeq and is a predicted model, not a curated record.